GUGGCAGUGGAAGCGGCUCUGACUUCACUUUGACCAUCAGUGGAGUUCAGACUGAAGAUGCAGCAGUUUACUACUGUAAGAGUAUACAUGUAAUAAACAGUGCUGAUGCUGACGUGGACUUUUGGUGGAGGAACCAAACUCGUCGUUGACUUGGGUGUGGUGCGGCCCACUCUGACCGUCCUCCCCCCUUCCAGAGAGGAGGUGGAGAAGGGCAGUGCCACAGUGGUGUGUCUUGCCAACAGGGGCUUCCCAUCAACCUGGAGGCUGGGCUGGAAAGUGGGGGGCCGCAGCACCUCCUCAGGUGUGUCACACAGCCUGGAGGUCCUGGGGAGUGACGGUCACUACAGCUGGUCCAGCACCCUGAGCCUCAAUGCAGACCAGUGGAGGAAGGCGGGCUCAGUGAGCUGUGAGGCCAGUCUGAGUGGACAGAGCCCUGUCACUCAAACCCUGGACCCUGACAGCUGCUCAGAGUAGAGCUUCAGCAACACUUCCUGUCUGGAAAUGAUGCUGCUUCUCUGAUAGAGAUCUUGAUGAAGCCACAGAUCUCCUCUAUCCACAUUUUUCUAGAAACUCAUCAUUCUGUUUUAAUGGGCAUCCAGCUCUCUGUAAUUAAUCUUACUUAUAUUCUGCUUCAUAGCUAUUAUUUCAAAAAUGUCAUUCAAAAAUCUAAUUGAUAAAAUAAAACUACAGCUUGU
Non-coding RNA from Toxotes jaculatrix (banded archerfish), 695 nucleotides. The record is from the annotation of a RefSeq genome assembly. NCBI's taxonomy places the organism in Eukaryota, Metazoa, Chordata, Actinopteri, Toxotidae.